UGGGCGAAAGCCUGACGGAGCAACGCCGCGUGAGUGAUGAAGGUCUUCGGAUCGUAAAACUCUGUUAUUAGGGAAGAACAUAUGUGUAAGUAACUGUGCACAUCUUAACGGUACCUAAUCAGAAAGCCACGGCUAACUACGUGCCAGCAGCCGCGGUAAU
Molecule: ribosomal RNA, 160 nt
Filed under: uncultured Staphylococcus sp.
Lineage: Bacteria; Bacillati; Bacillota; Bacilli; Caryophanales; Staphylococcaceae
Description: partial 16S ribosomal RNA
Rfam family: Bacterial small subunit ribosomal RNA
Source: RNAcentral